UUGCCUACGGGACGCAGCAGUGGGGGAUAUUGCACAAUGGGGGAAACCCUGAUGCAGCGACGCCGCGUGAGUGAAGAAGUAUUUCGGUAUGUAAAGCUCUAUCAGCAGGGAAGAAAAAAGACGGUACCUGACUAAGAAGCCCCGGCUAACUACGUGCCAGCAGCCGCGGUAAUACGUAGGGGGCAAGCGUUAUCCGGAUUUACUGGGUGUAAAGGGGGCGCAGACGGCGAUGCAAGCCAGGAGUGAAAGCCCGGGGCCCAACCCCGGGACUGCUCUUGGAACUGCGUGGCUGGAGUGCAGGAGGG
RNAcentral lists this ribosomal RNA (305 nucleotides) under uncultured bacterium. RNAcentral's name for it is "bacterial SSU rRNA". It matches the Rfam family "Bacterial small subunit ribosomal RNA", at positions 335 to 656 of the family's 1533-position model. The record is from RNAcentral.